This is a long non-coding RNA of Eucalyptus grandis, 960 nucleotides long. RefSeq lists it as uncharacterized. NCBI's taxonomy places the organism in Eukaryota, Viridiplantae, Streptophyta, Magnoliopsida, Myrtales, Myrtaceae. The transcript is spliced from 4 exons. The record is from RefSeq and is a predicted model, not a curated record.
GCCAUCUCCAUUUCUCUCUCCUCCAGCCCAAGCCCCUCUGCUCAUUCCUCGUCAGUGUGCCCUAAACGCUUCCCCUCUCUCUCUCUCUCUCACUAACCUCUCUCUCCUCCUCCUUCUCUCGCUCAAGCAAGGCCCCUCGCGAUCGCUCCCUCUCCUCCUUCCUCCCGCCUGUCCGCCUUCAUGCGAUCGGCGCCCGAUUCCGACAGCCUCCCCCGCGCUUCCCAAGCAUGGUCCUAAAGCGGCGUGCUCGUGUGAUCACUUAUGGUGGUGGUGUAAAUCCAAAACAUUUAAGAGUAUCUAGAUGCUCUUCUUCUUAUGGGGUGGACCUGGAGGGUCGAUUGGAUGCAAUUGAACGCAGGCUAGAUCAGAUUGAAGAUGAACUUCAAGCAACUCGGCAAGAAAAUGCUGCUCUUAGGCGUCGAAUGGAUGAGUUUGAAGCGACAUAUCAGGAAAUGAUCCGAUUUGUGCAACAUUCCCGUCGCACUCAGGAUGGUAGCUCAUCAUUGCCUCCAGAAGGAGCACCUCAGGUUAAUAACCACAGGGGCUCCAAGUCAUAAAACUUUUGAGGAGCAGUACUCUGACGCUGUGGACCAUUCAGUUAUGUGUGGAACUGUGAGGCAAAAUGAGAAUCUGGGGAAUGAAGGUGCUUAGGGGAUUUCAGUCUUUCAGCUGCAACUUAGGGGAAGUAGAUAUUAGAUAGUAUUCUCCUUUCGCAUCUUGGUGUUUAUAAGUGUACCUAACAUCUUUAGUAUGGUUUGCUUCAUUGCAAAGUGUGAAGGAGAAGAUAUUUAUAACCUUUAAAAAAGAAAGAAGAAAUCAAAUGAAUACCAUGGUGUUUGUUUAUAAGUCUCAUAUUUACACAAUGGUAUAGGGAGACUUGUUUGGAACAAGCUGGGCAUUGAACUGAAUGGCUACAAUAUUGAAUGGAUUUAUGGAAAUUAAGGUCUUGUAGGAGCGUAA